Molecule: ribosomal RNA, 517 nt
Filed under: Eimeria sp. 1 JM-2013
Lineage: Eukaryota; Apicomplexa; Conoidasida; Eucoccidiorida; Eimeriidae
Description: SSU rRNA
Rfam family: Eukaryotic small subunit ribosomal RNA
Source: RNAcentral
CCUGGUUUGCCCUCGRCUUUCUUCCGGUAGCCUUCCGCGCUUCACUGCGUGUGUUGGUGUUCCGGAACUUUUACUUUGAGAAAAAUAGAGUGUUUCAAGCAGGCUUGUUGCCCUGAAUACUUCAGCAUGGAAUAAUAAGAUAGGACCCUGGUUCUAUUUUGUUGGUUUCUAGGACCGAGGUAAUGAUUAAUAGGGACAGUUGGGGGCAUUCGUAUUUAACUGUCAGAGGUGAAAUUCUUAGAUUUGUUAAAGACGAACUACUGCGAAAGCAUUUGCCAAGGAUGUUUUCAUUAAUCAAGAACGACAGUAGGGGGUUUGAAGACGAUUAGAUACCGUCGUAAUCUCUACCAUAAACUAUGCCGACUAGAGAUAGGGAAACGCCUACCUUGGCUUCUCCUGCACCUCAUGAGAAAUCAAAGUCUCUGGGUUCUGGGGGGAGUAUGGUCGCAAGGCUGAAACUUAAAGGAAUUGACGGAAGGGCACCACCAGGCGUGGAGCCUGCGGCUUAAUUUGACUC